CCCUUAGAUGUUCUGGGCCGCACGCGUGCUACACUGAGUGGAUCAGCGGGUCAGGUUGCGCGAAAGCGUUUCCUAAUCUUUAAAUCCGCUCGUGAUGGGGAUUGACGGUUGCAAUUUUCUGUCAUGAACGAGGAAUUCCCAGUAAGUGCGAGUCAUCAGCUCGCGUUGAUUACGUCCCUGCCCUUUGUACACACCGCCCGUCGCUACUACCGAUUGGGAAAAUUUUAGAGAGUCCUGGACUGAUGAUUGUUCGGCUUCACGGCCUUACUUUCGUCGGGAAAGAAUUCGAUAAUAUUUUUCUAGAGGAAGUAAAAGUCGUAACA
This 323-nucleotide ribosomal RNA is filed under the name uncultured eukaryote. Its description in RNAcentral is "partial 18S ribosomal RNA". It matches the Rfam family "Eukaryotic small subunit ribosomal RNA", at positions 1470 to 1796 of the family's 1831-position model. The record is from RNAcentral.